RNAcentral lists this ribosomal RNA (468 nucleotides) under uncultured bacterium. RNAcentral's name for it is "partial 16S ribosomal RNA". It matches the Rfam family "Bacterial small subunit ribosomal RNA", at positions 28 to 507 of the family's 1533-position model. The record is from RNAcentral.
GACGAACGCUGGCGGCGUGCUUAACACAUGCAAGUCGAACGGAAAGGCCCUGCUUUUGUGGGGUGCUCGAGUGGCGAACGGGUGAGUAACACGUGAGUAACCUGCCCUUGACUUUGGGAUAACUUCAGGAAACUGGGGCUAAUACCGGAUAGGAGCUCCUGCUGCAUGGUGGGGAUUGGAUGGUUUCGGCGGUUGGGGAUGGACUCGCGGCUUAUCAGCUUGUUGGUGGGGUAGUGGCUUACCAAGGCUUUGACGGGUAGCCGGCCUGAGAGGGUGACCGGCCACAUUGGGACUGAGAGACGGCCCAGACUCCUACGGGAGGCAGCAGGGGGGAAUAUUGCACAAUGGGCGGAAGUCUGAUGCAGCAACGCCGCGUGUGGGAAGACGGCCUUCUGGUUGUAAACCGCUUUCGCCUGUGACGAAGCGUGAGUGACGGUAAUGGGUAAAGAAGCACCGGCUAACUACGUG